RNAcentral lists this non-coding RNA (22 nucleotides) under Arabidopsis thaliana (thale cress). Lineage: Eukaryota; Viridiplantae; Streptophyta; Magnoliopsida; Brassicales; Brassicaceae. The record is from RNAcentral.
UGAUGGAUGUUGAUCAUAUGUG